RNAcentral lists this ribosomal RNA (467 nucleotides) under uncultured bacterium. RNAcentral's name for it is "partial 16S ribosomal RNA". It matches the Rfam family "Bacterial small subunit ribosomal RNA", at positions 28 to 507 of the family's 1533-position model. The record is from RNAcentral.
GACGAACGCUGGCGGCGUGCUUAACACAUGCAAGUCGAACGGAAAGGCCUCUUUCGGGGGGUACUCGAGUGGCGAACGGGUGAGUAACACGUGAGUAACCUGCCCUUGACUUUGGGAUAACUUCAGGAAACUGGGGCUAAUACCGGAUAGGAGCUCCUGCUGCAUGGUGGGGGGUGGAAAGUUUCGGCGGUUGGGGAUGGACUCGCGGCUUAUCAGCUUGUUGGUGGGGUAGUGGCUUACCAAGGCUUUGACGGGUAGCCGGCCUGAGAGGGUGACCGGCCACAUUGGGACUGAGAUACGGCCCAGACUCCUACGGGAGGCAGCAGGGGGGAAUAUUGCACAAUGGGUGGAAGCCUGAUGCAGCAACGCCGUGUGCGGGAUGACGGCCUUCGGGUUGUAAACCGCUUUCGCUCAUGACGAAGCUUUGUGUGACGGUAGUGGGUAAAGAAGCACCGGCUAACUACGUG